UACGUAGGUGGCGAGCGUUGUCCGGAAUUACUGGGCGUAAAGCGCGUUCAGGCGGUUUGACAAGUCGGGCAUGAAAUCUCUCGGCUCAACCGGGAGAGGUUAUCCGAUACUGUCAGACUUGAGGGCAGUAGAGGGUGGUGGAAUUCCGGGUGUAGUGGUGAAAUGCGUAGAUAUCCGGAGGAACACCAGUGGCGAAAGCGGCCACCGGGACUGUACCUGACGCUCAAACGCGAAAGCUAGGGGAGCGAACGGG
RNAcentral lists this ribosomal RNA (253 nucleotides) under uncultured bacterium. RNAcentral's name for it is "partial 16S ribosomal RNA". It matches the Rfam family "Bacterial small subunit ribosomal RNA", at positions 524 to 776 of the family's 1533-position model. The record is from RNAcentral.